AAAGUCCAAUACCGGAAAGGUUUAGCAAUCCAUUUUUACUCCGAGUCAUGCGUUGUGCAUCGUGAGGUGUCCGGCGAAGCGUUGACAGGGGGUAGCCAUGCCGACAAAGCA
This is a non-coding RNA of Deltaproteobacteria bacterium, 111 nucleotides long. Lineage: Bacteria; Pseudomonadati; Myxococcota; Myxococcia. The record is from Rfam.